GACGAACGUUGGCGGCGUGCCUAAUACAUGCAAGUCAACUGAAAUACCGGUAGCGAAUACUGGUAUGGAGGUGGCGCACGGGUGAGUAACACGUAGGUAAUCUGCCUUCAGGUCUGACAUAACCCAUCGAAAGGUGAGCUAAUAUCAGAUGAUGGCAGCGGCUUGACAUCAAGACAGUUGUUAAAGCUUCGGCGCCUGAAGAUGAGCCNGCGUCUGAUUAGCUAGUUGGC
Molecule: ribosomal RNA, 230 nt
Filed under: uncultured bacterium
Lineage: Bacteria
Description: partial 16S ribosomal RNA
Rfam family: Bacterial small subunit ribosomal RNA
Source: RNAcentral